GAUGAACGCUGGCGGCGUGCCUAAUACAUGCAAGUCGAGCGAACAGACGAGGAGCUUGCUCCUCUGACGUUAGCGGCGGACGGGUGAGUAACACGUGGAUAACCUACCUAUAAGACUGGGAUAACUUCGGGAAACCGGAGCUAAUACCGGAUAAUAUAUUGAACCGCUUGGUUCAAUAGUGAAAGACGGUUUUGCUGUCACUUAUAGAUGGAUCCGCGCCGCAUUAGCUAGUUGGUAAGGUAACGGCUUACCAAGGCAACGAUGCGUAGCCGACCUGAGAGGGUGAUCGGCCACACUGGAACUGAGACACGGUCCAGACUCCUACGGGAGGCAGCAGUAGGGAAUCUUCCGCAAUGGGCGAAAGCCUGACGGAGCAACGCCGCGUGAGUGAUGAAGGUCUUCGGAUCGUAAAACUCUGUUAUUAGGGAAGAACAAAUGUGUAAGUAACUAUGCACGUCAUGACGGUACCUAAUCAGAAAGCCACGGCUAACUACGUG
This 497-nucleotide ribosomal RNA is filed under the name uncultured bacterium. RNAcentral describes it as "partial 16S ribosomal RNA". It matches the Rfam family "Bacterial small subunit ribosomal RNA", at positions 28 to 507 of the family's 1533-position model. The record is from RNAcentral.